Non-coding RNA from Aeromonas molluscorum 848, 38 nucleotides. The record is from Rfam. Lineage: Bacteria; Pseudomonadati; Pseudomonadota; Gammaproteobacteria; Aeromonadales; Aeromonadaceae.
GAGCAUAUUGGAAGCUGUAAUCCACGGGCGGUAGCGUG